AGAGCGAACGCUGGCGGCAGGCCUAACACAUGCAAGUCGAGCGGCCGUAGCAAUACGGCAGCGGCAGACGGGAUAGUAACACGUGGGAACGUACCCUUCAGUUCGGAACAACCCAGGGAAACUUGGGCUAAUACCGAAUACGUCCGUAAGGAGAAAGAUUUAUCGCUGAGGGAUCGGCCCGCGUCUGAUUAGCUAGUUGGUGAGGUAACGGCCCACCAAGGCGACGACGGGUAGCC
This 236-nucleotide ribosomal RNA is filed under the name uncultured bacterium. RNAcentral's name for it is "partial small subunit ribosomal RNA". It matches the Rfam family "Bacterial small subunit ribosomal RNA", at positions 26 to 288 of the family's 1533-position model. The record is from RNAcentral.